Hipposideros armiger (great roundleaf bat) is the source of this 682-nucleotide non-coding RNA. The record is from the annotation of a RefSeq genome assembly. Lineage: Eukaryota; Metazoa; Chordata; Mammalia; Chiroptera; Hipposideridae.
AGCUUGGAGAGGCCAGUCCCAGCUGGGCAGCCUCAGGGCAGAGCUCCAGGAAGAUUCUCCCCACCAUGGACUGGCUUCCCUUCUACCUCCUGCCCCUGGUUUUCUCCACAGGCUCCUGUGCUUGGGUUGUGCUGACACAGCCCCCAUCUGCGUCGGCCUCCCUGGGAGCCUCGGCCAAGCUCACCUGCACCCUGAGCAGUGAACACAGCAACUUCUUCAUUUUCUGGCAUCAACAGGCACCAGGGAAGGCCCCUCGGUAUGUGAUGAAGGUUAACAGUGACGGAAGCCACAGCAAGGGGGACGGGAUCCCCGAUCGCUUCUCAGGCUCCAGCUCUGGGGCUGACCGCUACUUAACCAUCUCCAACCUCCAGUCUGAGGAUGAGGCUGAGUAUUAUUGUGAAACAGGACAUACAAUUGAUGGCCAAACCCGUUAUACCACAGUAACACAGACAAAGGGGAAGUGAGGCCAAAACCUCCUUCCAUUCCCUUUGCCCUACGGGGACACAGGGUAAGCUGAUCUCUGUCCGUCUCCAUGAUCCUGAGGCCUUUGCCGCUUCCCCUUGCAAAUCCUAUCAUCCUACCCCCUCCCGGAGACACCACAAGGGAGAGCUCCUGGUUCCAACAGGGUCAGUAUGUCAUCUGCUGCCAUGUUACUGUGACAAAUUAACAAUAUGAAGAAGUA